Molecule: ribosomal RNA, 253 nt
Filed under: uncultured bacterium
Lineage: Bacteria
Also listed under: 1 other name
Description: partial 16S ribosomal RNA
Rfam family: Bacterial small subunit ribosomal RNA
Source: RNAcentral
UACAGAGGCCUCAAGCGUUAGGCGGAAUCACUGGGCUUAAAGCGUGUGUAGGCGGACUUCUAAGUACCUUGUGAAAUCCCACGGCUUAACUGUGGAACUGCUUGGUAUACUGGUUGUCUUGAGCCACUCAGGGGCGAGCGGAACAAAUGGUGGAGCGGUGAAAUGCGUAGAUAUCAUUUGGAACGCCAAUGGUGAAAACAGCUCGCUGGGGGUGUGCUGACGCUGAGACACGAAAGCCAGGGGAGCGAACGGG